Molecule: transfer RNA, 76 nt
Rfam family: tRNA
About the family: Transfer RNA (tRNA) molecules are approximately 80 nucleotides in length. Their secondary structure includes four short double-helical elements and three loops (D, anti-codon, and T loops).
UCCUACAAGUAAGGUCAGCUAAAUAAGCUAUCGGGCCCAUACCCCGAAAAUGUUGGUUUAAACCCUUCCCGUACUA